RNAcentral lists this microRNA precursor (100 nucleotides) under Chlorocebus sabaeus (green monkey). RNAcentral describes it as "miRNA (ENSCSAG00000022966.1)". Lineage: Eukaryota; Metazoa; Chordata; Mammalia; Primates; Cercopithecidae. The record is from RNAcentral.
GAGGUGGGAGGAUCGCUUGAGCCAAGGAGGUUGAGGCUGCAGUGAGCUGUGAUUGCACCACUGCACUCCAGCCUGGGUGACAGAGCAAGACCUUGUCACA